RNAcentral lists this ribosomal RNA (254 nucleotides) under uncultured Armatimonadota bacterium. Its description in RNAcentral is "uncultured Armatimonadetes bacterium partial 16S ribosomal RNA". It matches the Rfam family "Bacterial small subunit ribosomal RNA", at positions 524 to 776 of the family's 1533-position model. Lineage: Bacteria; Bacillati; Armatimonadota. The record is from RNAcentral.
UACGUAGGGGGCGAGCGUUGUCCGAAGUUACUGGGCGUAAAGCGCGCGUAGGCGGGGAUCUAAGUGAGAAGUGAAAGGCUGGGGCUCAACCCCAUGCAGUGCUCCUCAUACUGGUUCUCUUGAGUGGGGCAGAGAGAAGUGGAAUGGCUGGUGUAGCGGUGAAAUGCGUAGAUAUCAGUCGGAACACCGGUGGCGAAGGCGGCUUCUUGGGCCCUAACUGACGCUGAUGCGCGAAAGCCAGGGUAGCGAACGGG